GUAAGACAUGCAAUCGCUGCUAGACUUAGAUCUAGGAGAGGAAAGUCGGAGCUCCAUAGGGCAGGGUGCUGGAUAACGUCCAGUCAAGGCGACUUGAAGGAAAGUGCAACAGAGAGAUACCGCCUAAUAUAUUCUAAUUUAUUAGAUGUACUAGGUAAGGGUGGAAAGGCGAGGUAAGAGCUCACCAGCAUCAUGGUGACAUGAUGGCUAUGUAAACCCCACCUGGAGCAAGGUCGAAUAGGGAAACAUUUAGGGGUUGCCCGCUCCGUUUCCGGGUGUACCGCUUGAGCUUAUUGGUAACAAUAAGCCUAGAUAGAUGAUUGCUUAAUACAGAACUCCGCUUACGGCUUGUCUCG
This 356-nucleotide RNase P RNA is filed under the name uncultured Clostridium sp. Its description in RNAcentral is "Bacterial RNase P class A". It matches the Rfam family "Bacterial RNase P class A". From Rfam's summary of the family: Ribonuclease P (RNase P) is a ubiquitous endoribonuclease, found in archaea, bacteria and eukarya as well as chloroplasts and mitochondria. Its best characterised activity is the generation of mature 5'-ends of tRNAs by cleaving the 5'-leader elements of precursor-tRNAs. Cellular RNase Ps are ribonucleoproteins. The record is from RNAcentral. Lineage: Bacteria; Bacillati; Bacillota; Clostridia; Eubacteriales; Clostridiaceae.